This 460-nucleotide ribosomal RNA is filed under the name uncultured bacterium. RNAcentral's name for it is "partial 16S ribosomal RNA". It matches the Rfam family "Bacterial small subunit ribosomal RNA", at positions 338 to 795 of the family's 1533-position model. The record is from RNAcentral.
CCUACGGGUGGCCGCAGUGAGGAAUAUUGGUCAAUGGGCGUAAGCCUGAACCAGCCAAGUCGCGUGAGGGAUGAAGGUUCUAUGGAUCGUAAACCUCUUUUAUAAGGGAAUAAAGUGUGGGACGUGUCCUAUUUUGUAUGUACCUUAUGAAUAAGGAUCGGCUAACUCCGUGCCAGCAGCCGCGGUAAUACGGGGGAUCCGAGCGUUAGCCGGAUUUAUUGGGUUUAAAGGGUGCGUAGGCGGCCUUUUAAGUCAGCGGGGAAAGUCGUGGGCUCAACCAUAGUAUUGCCGUUGAAACUGGGUGGCUUGAGUAUGUUUGAGGCAGGCGGAAUGCGUGGUGUAGCGGUGAAAUGCUUAGAUAUCACGCAGAACCCCGAUUGCGAAGGCAGCCUGCCAGGCCAUGACUGACGCUGAUGCACGAAAGCGUGGGGAUCAAACAGGAUUAGAUACCCUUGUAGUC